RNAcentral lists this ribosomal RNA (465 nucleotides) under uncultured Klebsiella sp. Its description in RNAcentral is "bacterial SSU rRNA". It matches the Rfam family "Bacterial small subunit ribosomal RNA", at positions 338 to 795 of the family's 1533-position model. Lineage: Bacteria; Pseudomonadati; Pseudomonadota; Gammaproteobacteria; Enterobacterales; Enterobacteriaceae. The record is from RNAcentral.
CCUACGGGAGGCUGCAGUGGGGAAUAUUGCACAAUGGGCGCAAGCCUGAUGCAGCCAUGCCGCGUGUGUGAAGAAGGCCUUCGGGUUGUAAAGCACUUUCAGCGGGGAGGAAGGCGGUGAGGUUAAUAACCUCAUCGAUUGACGUUACCCGCAGAAGAAGCACCGGCUAACUCCGUGCCAGCAGCCGCGGUAAUACGGAGGGUGCAAGCGUUAAUCGGAACUACUGGGCGUAAAGCGCACGCAGGCGGUCUGUCAAGUCGGAUGUGAAAUCCCCGGGCUCAACCUGGGAACUGCAUUCGAAACUGGCAGGCUAGAGUCUUGUAGAGGGGGGUAGAAUUCCAGGUGUAGCGGUGAAAUGCGUAGAGAUCUGGAGGAAUACCGGUGGCGAAGGCGGCCCCCUGGACAAAGACUGACGCUCAGGUGCGAAAGCGUGGGGAGCAAACAGGAUUAGAUACCCGUGUAGUC